CUUGGGGAGGGGGGAGUUCCCUCAGCCUGGAUUGUGGGAGGGUGCAGGCCAGGCUGAGGGACCCCACCAGUGCACG
This is a non-coding RNA of Myotis lucifugus (little brown bat), 76 nucleotides long. The record is from Rfam. Lineage: Eukaryota; Metazoa; Chordata; Mammalia; Chiroptera; Vespertilionidae.